GUAGGGAAUAUUGGACAAUGGGGGGAACCCUGAUCCAGCCAUGCCGCGUGGAGGAAGACUGCCCUCUGGGUUGUAAACUCCUUUUAUAUGGGAAGAACCGUCCUCAUUAAUGAGUGACCUGACGGUACCAUAGGAAUAAGCACCGGCUAACUCCGUGCCAGCAGCCGCGGUAAUACGGAGGGUGCAAGCGGUAUCCGGAUUCACUGGGUUUAAAGGGUGCGUAGGCGGAUAAAUAAGUCAGUGGUGAAAUCAACGGGCUCAACCUGUUAACUGCCAUUGAUACUGUGUAUCUUGAAUAUUAGAGAGGUAGGCGGAAUGUUGCAUGUAGCGGUGAAAUGCUUAGAUAUGCUACGGAACACCGAUUGCGAAGGCAGCUUACUAUUUCGUAAUUGACGCUGAGGCACGAAAGCGUGGGUAGCGAACAGGAUUAGAAACCCCUGUAGUCC
RNAcentral lists this ribosomal RNA (446 nucleotides) under uncultured bacterium. Its description in RNAcentral is "partial 16S ribosomal RNA". It matches the Rfam family "Bacterial small subunit ribosomal RNA", at positions 354 to 796 of the family's 1533-position model. The record is from RNAcentral.